AUGCUACCCAGGAUGCUGCCUUUGAGGCUGGAUGGAAACCUCCAGAAGUCAGGACUGCACACAUCUCAGCACCUGAAUAAACCCAGUUUUGGAGAAGCGUGGAUCAGAGCCUGGGAAACAGGGAAGCAGCAAACCAACAAACGGAGAGCGAGGAGCGGAGAAGCUGCAGAUUCUGUGGGAGAUGCGUUCGGCCCGAGAGCUCCAGAAACGGAACGAGUUAACAGGCUUGGUCUGUGCAGCUCACUUUUGGGGUGGUUCCCCCCCCCCCCGCAGCCCACGGCAUCCAUAACUUCAGUCUUCUGCCAGCAUUUUGUGACCUAAACGUACAAGGCCCCUCACUAGAAGUCCACUUUAGCUCUGACGUGCAUUGGAGGUGAGAGAAGAGGAACAAUUCUGGGACUUGGGCAAAGUUGUUCCUUCCUGUAAAGCUCUGGCUUUAACCUCUGAGCCCUGAAGCAUCUCUCUGAACAAGGAUUACAGCCUGGGUAAGUGACUGUGAGUAAUCUUGUUUGGCUGGUGUUUUUCUGAAUUUAUCAACUUUUAACUUUUUGAUGACCUUCCUUCCUUCCCCUAUUCCUGAGUAAGUACAAACACUGUAAAUUAUAUGACUCUUGAAAGCAGGAGCUGGCAGUGUGUGUUAAAGCAACUGUCAGGAGUGUCAUUUCAACUCGAGAUGAUGACAACCUCUCAGUAUUCUUAAUAAUGCUCCUGAGUGCUUUUUUUUUUUUUUUUUUUUUAUAUAGAAAUAACAAUGGAGAAAAAAAAAAGGAAGAGAUAUGUAAUGAGAAUUGUGUAAUUUUGCUUUUACAAAAUGCUUUAGUUGAAGGCUUGGACUUUUUUGUAUUAUACGAAAUGAUCAAACAUUGUCGCUUGUGUUGAUGUAACAAGAAGGGAGCGCUGCCCUGGAAGAUUAGUGGAAAGACCCAACCCCACAGCUGGAAAGUCAAAAAAUAGCCCGGGGGCAUAUAAAGCAGGGUAUUAUGGUGGAGGCAUUAAUGUAGCCAUUAAGUUUGUGACCAUUGUUAUGCAACACAUUAUGUUCUGCUAGGCCACACCUGGUUAAAAGAUCAUCCCCUGCAGUCUCUCAUUCUCAGGUAGCAGAGGCAGAGGUGAUAUGCUGUGAACACCAGAUCACAGCAGCACCUGAAACGCAGGCUGGCUGAGCACGUGGCUGCCUAUUCCCAUCAGACGGACCUGCUGCACAUUAGGCCCAGGUGUAUCUUCAGAAAACCUUGCUUUGACCACAUUUAGCUAUUGUACAACAACCUAUAGUAAAGUCUCUAAAUUCAGCUACAUGGCCAAGAAAUGUUUUUUAGUCCUU
Molecule: long non-coding RNA, 1321 nt
Filed under: Anas platyrhynchos platyrhynchos (common mallard)
Lineage: Eukaryota; Metazoa; Chordata; Aves; Anseriformes; Anatidae
Description: lncRNA (ENSAPLG00000026481.1)
Source: RNAcentral